This is a long non-coding RNA of Ruditapes philippinarum (Manila clam), 215 nucleotides long. RefSeq lists it as uncharacterized. NCBI's taxonomy places the organism in Eukaryota, Metazoa, Mollusca, Bivalvia, Venerida, Veneridae. The record is from RefSeq and is a predicted model, not a curated record. The transcript is spliced from 3 exons.
AGGUUUCGUUUUUAAUCAUUUUGGUCGUCGUAGUUGAUUCAACAUGUAGAAAACGAUGUAGACUUGAUCUUGAGAAAAUUGGAUACAAAACGUGUGUUGAAAAAGACACAGGAUGUAAGAAAAGUCCGAGCGAAACAGAAAGAUGUUAUGAGAAGCUGCCUGGUACAAAACUAUCAGAAGAUGUUAUAAAUGUGGCUUCAAUCAGUACUACAAAA